AUACGGAGGGUGCAAGCGUUACUCGGAAUUACUGGGCGUAAAGCGUACGUAGGCGGUUAUUUAAGUCAGAUGUGAAAGCCCCGGGCUUAACUUGGGAACUGCAUUUGAAACUGGGUAACUAGAGUUUAGUAGAGGGGAGUGGAAUUUCAGGUGUAGCGGUGAAAUGCGUAGAGAUCUGAAGGAACACCAGUGCGAAGGCGACUCCCUGGACUAAAACUGACGCUGAGGUACGAAAGCGUGGGUAGCAAACAGGAUUAGAUACCCUAGUAGUCC
RNAcentral lists this ribosomal RNA (273 nucleotides) under uncultured bacterium. Its description in RNAcentral is "partial 16S ribosomal RNA". It matches the Rfam family "Bacterial small subunit ribosomal RNA", at positions 523 to 796 of the family's 1533-position model. The record is from RNAcentral.